GCCAGGAUGACAGAGUGGCCAUGUGGCCGGCUGCAGACCGGCAUAGAGGGGUUCGAUUCCCCUUCCUGGCU
Molecule: transfer RNA, 71 nt
Filed under: Microcaldota archaeon
Lineage: Archaea; Nanobdellati; Microcaldota
Description: tRNA-Cys
Rfam family: tRNA
About the family: Transfer RNA (tRNA) molecules are approximately 80 nucleotides in length.
Source: RNAcentral